Molecule: non-coding RNA, 122 nt
Organism: Pelobates cultripes (western spadefoot toad)
Lineage: Eukaryota; Metazoa; Chordata; Amphibia; Anura; Pelobatidae
Source: the annotation of a GenBank genome assembly
GGGGAGGACAGUAGGUCCCCCCCCCUUAUUGUUUUAUUAGGGCCCCCACCCCUGCGCGGUGGGUGGGGGCCCUAGUAAAACAAUAAGGGGGGGGACCUACUGUCCUCCCCCCCUGGCCCCCA